CCUUGUACACACCGCCCGUCAAGCCACGAAAGGGAGGGAUAUCCGAAGUCGCCGUGCCAACCGCAAGGGGGCAAGCGCCGACGAUAGACUUCCUGAUUGGGACU
This 104-nucleotide ribosomal RNA is filed under the name uncultured bacterium. RNAcentral's name for it is "partial 16S ribosomal RNA". It matches the Rfam family "Bacterial small subunit ribosomal RNA", at positions 1379 to 1482 of the family's 1533-position model. The record is from RNAcentral.